Myxocyprinus asiaticus (Chinese sucker) is the source of this 125-nucleotide small nucleolar RNA. RefSeq annotates it as small nucleolar RNA SNORA13. The record is from RefSeq and is a predicted model, not a curated record. NCBI's taxonomy places the organism in Eukaryota, Metazoa, Chordata, Actinopteri, Cypriniformes, Catostomidae. The transcript has a single exon.
UGCCUUUUGUGUUACCCAUUCUUUGCACUUACCCUAAAGAAUGCGGCGUCAACAAAGGCAUACAGUAAAACCUUUGGUUUGGCCUUUACAAGGUGACUUCUCUUUGUCUCAAGCUCAAACCAAUU